Molecule: ribosomal RNA, 253 nt
Filed under: uncultured bacterium
Lineage: Bacteria
Description: partial 16S ribosomal RNA
Rfam family: Bacterial small subunit ribosomal RNA
Source: RNAcentral
UACGGAGGGAGCUAGCGUUGUUCGGAAUUACUGGGCGUAAAGCGCACGUAGGCGGCUAUUCAAGUCAGAGGUGAAAGCCCGGGGCUCAACCCCGGAACUGCCUUUGAAACUAGAUAGCUAGAAUCUUGGAGAGGUCAGUGGAAUUCCGAGUGUAGAGGUGAAAUUCGUAGAUAUUCGGAAGAACACCAGUGGCGAAGGCGACUGACUGGACAUGUAUUGACGCUGAGGUGCGAAAGCGUGGGGAGCAAACAGG